Molecule: ribosomal RNA, 497 nt
Filed under: uncultured bacterium
Lineage: Bacteria
Description: partial 16S ribosomal RNA
Rfam family: Bacterial small subunit ribosomal RNA
Source: RNAcentral
GAUGAACGCUGGCGGCGUGCCUAAUACAUGCAAGUCGAGCGAACGGACGAGAAGCUUGCUUCUCUGAUGUUAGCGGCGGACGGGUGAGUAACACGUGUAUAGCCUACCUAUAAGACUGGGAUAACUUCGGGAAACCGGAGCUAAUACCGGAUAAUAUUUUGAACCGCAUGGUUCAAAAGUGAAAGACGGUCUUGCUGUCACUUAUAGAUGGAUCCGCGCUGCAUUAGCUAGUUGGUAAGGUAACGGCUUACCAAGGCAACGAUGCAUAGCCGACCUGAGAGGGUGAUCGGCCACACUGGAACUGAGACACGGUCCAGACUCCUACGGGAGGCAGCAGUAGGGAAUCUUCCGCAAUGGGCGAAAGCCUGACGGAGCAACGCCGCGUGAGUGAUGAAGGUCUUCGGAUCGUAAAACUCUGUUAUUAGGGAAGAACAUAUGUGUAAGUAACUGUGCACAUCUUGACGGUACCUAAUCAGAAAGCCACGGCUAACUACGUG